This 468-nucleotide ribosomal RNA is filed under the name uncultured bacterium. Its description in RNAcentral is "partial 16S ribosomal RNA". It matches the Rfam family "Bacterial small subunit ribosomal RNA", at positions 28 to 507 of the family's 1533-position model. The record is from RNAcentral.
GACGAACGCUGGCGGCGUGCUUAACACAUGCCAGUCGAACGGAAAGGCCCUGCUUUUGUGGGGUGCUCGAGUGGCGAACGGGUGAGUAACACGUGAGUAACCUGCCCUUGACUUUGGGAUAACUUCAGGAAACUGGGGCUAAUACCGGAUAGGAGCUCCUGCUGCAUGGUGGGGGUUGGAAAGUUUCGGCGGUUGGGGAUGGACUCGCGGCUUAUCAGCUUGUUGGUGGGGUAGUGGCUUACCAAGGCUUGGACGGGUAGCCGGCCUGAGAGGGUGACCGGCCACAUUGGGACUGAGAUACGGCCCAGACUCCUACGGGAGGCAGCAGUGGGGAAUAUUGCACAAUGGGCGGAAGCCUGAUGCAGCAACGCCGCGUGCGGGAUGACGGCCUUCGGGUUGUAAACCGCUUUCGCCUGUGACGAAGCGUGAGUGACGGUAAUGGGUAAAGAAGCACCGGCUAACUACGUG